UCUCAUGCCAAGCCGAAGCUGGACUAUACUGCUGCCAUCUCGGCUCACUGCAACCUCCCUGCCUGAUUCUCCUGCCUCAGCCUGCUGAGUGCCUGCAAUUGCAGGCACGCGCCGCCACGCCUGACUGGUUUUCGUAUUUUUUUGGUGGAGACGGGGUUUCGCUGUGUUGGCCGGGCUGGUCUCCAGCUCCUAACCACGAGUGAUCCGCCAGCCUCGGCCUCCCGAGGUGCCGGGAUUGCAGACGGAGUCUGGUUCACUCAGUGCUCAAUGGCGCCCAGGCUGGAGUGCAGUGGCGUGAUCUCGGCUCGCUACAACCUCCACCUCCCAGCCGCCUGCCUUGGCCUCCCGAAGUGCCGAGAUUGCAGCCUCUGCCCGGCCACCACCGCAUCUGGGAAGUGAGGAGCGUCUCUGCCUGGCCGCCCAUCGUCUGGGAUGUGAGGAGCCCCUCUGCCUGGCUGCCCAGUCUGGAAAGUGAGGAGCGUCUCCGCCCGGCCGCCAUCCCAUCUGGGAAGUGAGGAGCGCCUCUUCCCAGCCGCCAUCACAUCUAGGAAGUGAGGAGCGUCUCUGCCUGGCCGCCCAUCGUCUGGGAUGUGAGGAGCCCCUCUGCCCGGCCAGCCGCCCCGUCUGGGAGGGAGGUGGGGGGGUCAGCCCCCCGCCUGGCCAGCCGCCUCAUCCGGGAGGUGAGGGGUGCCUCUGCCCGGCCGCCCCUACUGG
RNAcentral lists this long non-coding RNA (714 nucleotides) under Homo sapiens (human). RNAcentral's name for it is "HSALNT0393170". Lineage: Eukaryota; Metazoa; Chordata; Mammalia; Primates; Hominidae. The record is from RNAcentral.